RNAcentral lists this ribosomal RNA (274 nucleotides) under uncultured bacterium. RNAcentral describes it as "partial 16S ribosomal RNA". It matches the Rfam family "Bacterial small subunit ribosomal RNA", at positions 523 to 796 of the family's 1533-position model. The record is from RNAcentral.
AUACAGAGGGUGCGAGCGUUAAUCGGAAUUACUGGGCGUAAAGCGCGCGUAGGCGGCUUGGUCAGUCGGAUGUGAAAGCCCCGGGCUCAACCUGGGAAUGGCAUUCGAUACUGCCAGGCUAGAGUAUGGGAGAGGGAAGUGGAAUUUCCGGUGUAGCGGUGAAAUGCGUAGAGAUCGGAAGGAACACCAGUGGCGAAGGCGACUUCCUGGCCCAAUACUGACGCUGAGGUGCGAAAGCGUGGGGAGCGAACAGGAUUAGAUACCCCAGUAGUCC